Dipodomys ordii (Ord's kangaroo rat) is the source of this 72-nucleotide non-coding RNA. NCBI's taxonomy places the organism in Eukaryota, Metazoa, Chordata, Mammalia, Rodentia, Heteromyidae. The record is from Rfam.
GGGAAGCUGGCUCAGUGGUAGAGUGCUUGUCUCACAUGCAUGAGGCCCUGGGUUCGAUUCCUCAGCACCACA